Molecule: non-coding RNA, 259 nt
Filed under: Pasteurella felis
Lineage: Bacteria; Pseudomonadati; Pseudomonadota; Gammaproteobacteria; Pasteurellales; Pasteurellaceae
Description: Haemophilus felis Bacterial small subunit ribosomal RNA
Rfam family: Bacterial small subunit ribosomal RNA
Source: Rfam by way of RNAcentral
CAGAAAGUGCAUCUAAGUCCGGAUUGGAGUCUGCAACUCGACUCCAUGAAGUCGGAAUCGCUAGUAAUCGCAAAUCAGAAUGUUGCGGUGAAUACGUUCCCGGGCCUUGUACACACCGCCCGUCACACCAUGGGAGUGGGUUGUACCAGAAGUAGAUAGCUUAACGGAAACGGGGGCGUUUACCACGGUAUGAUUCAUGACUGGGGUGAAGUCGUAACAAGGUAACCGUAGGGGAACCUGCGGUUGGAUCACCUCCUUA